CGUUGAUCUACACGAUCCCCACGCGGGACAGAGAACAGAGACUGUACCCAGCGGUGCAGAGACACCCUGUGCCCGCGCAGCACUUCAAGAGAAGAAGGCGAGAUGUACAGACUGAUCACCACCCUCGCCCUCCUGGUGGGCGUCCACCCCACCUCAGCCGACAGCGGAGGACUCCGGGGCAAGUCCCUCAUCUUCUCCCAACCGUCCUUCACCUCCAACGUGAAGCUGCUGCCAAGCCGUUUCCUCGAGUU
Molecule: long non-coding RNA, 251 nt
Organism: Pristis pectinata (smalltooth sawfish)
Lineage: Eukaryota; Metazoa; Chordata; Chondrichthyes; Rhinopristiformes; Pristidae
Exons: 3
Source: RefSeq, a predicted model, not a curated record